This 253-nucleotide ribosomal RNA is filed under the name uncultured bacterium. RNAcentral describes it as "partial 16S ribosomal RNA". It matches the Rfam family "Bacterial small subunit ribosomal RNA", at positions 524 to 776 of the family's 1533-position model. The record is from RNAcentral.
UACGUAGGGUGCGAGCGUUAAUCGGAAUUACUGGGCGUAAAGCGUGCGUAGACGGUUAUGUAAGUCAGGUGUGAAAGCCCCGGGCUCAACCUGGGAAUGGCAUUUGAGACUGCAUAGCUAGGGUGCGGAAGAGGGAAGCGGAAUUUCCGGUGUAGCGGUGAAAUGCGUAGAUAUCGGAAGGAACAUCAGUGGCGAAAGCGGCUUCCUGGUCCAGCACCGACGUUCAGGCACGAAAGCGUGGGGAGCAAACAGG